AAAAACAGCUUCAGUUCCAUUUAUCAUGGGAAAGGUAGCGUUGCCUUGGUGAAUGACACACUUAUUGCUUUAAGUAAAAAUGGGCCUUUUCUCAGCCCCAUAGUGUCAACGGGAGUUUUAAGCAUUGCAAAACAGAAACUUCAUAGACAUGUGUUAUAAUGCUUAAGUUUGAAAUUUAACCCUGUUUGCAGGGACUGGCUGUAUUGCUCCAAGAUUUCAGAUAUAUUUAAACUCCUCAAGGACUCGGUCAUUUGCUCAUUGAUUCUCAACCUUUCUGUGCUCCCUCAGCUCUCAGUGCGCCCCUCAAUUGUGAUUCAGCCCACAUCCCUGCAUUGAGCCUGACAUUAGGAAAUGGAGGGAUUGCACAGGCACAGUGACCACCACCAGGCAACGCCAAGCUGAGCAGGGCAGGCAGCAAAAGCACAUCAAGAACACUGUCUUAGGCUCGCCAGGCAAAUGGAAGAUUUGGAGACAUCCCAUCUGCCCUAGAUAAACUUUUGCAUAACAAAUGGUGCCAAGAUACUGGGGCCAUGAAAGGUCUGUAAAACAGGAUCAGUCUGAGCAUUCAAGGAAAGGGGAUUCUUAGGAACUACCAUGAGUUCACCUAGCUCCCUUCAUCAACUUCUUUUUCCAGAUCUAUUUGGAAAUUAGUGAUUGAGAGUGAAGCCCGCCACCUCUGGGCCCAUGCAGUUGUGUGUUGUGGAUCCAUUGGCUGUGUGUGAGCAGGAACAGAUGGGGUCAACCAGUGCCAUGAAGCAAAUAAGAACAAAGGAGAAACUUACAGAGUAAGAAAUUGAGGAAGCUCUGGGACAUGAAAUAGCUUGCCCACAAUUCUCAUGGCUAGUUGGUGCAUAGCAGAGAUUACAUCCAUAGUGUUUUGAGCAUUCUUUAAACAUGAAUUUCUCUGAAGAAGAUUGCAUUACCAUUUUUCAAAACAAACUUCAUUUCACAAGCCACACACCCCAACCCUCUGCACCAAGAUGCCCA
RNAcentral lists this long non-coding RNA (987 nucleotides) under Homo sapiens (human). RNAcentral describes it as "HSALNT0205643". Lineage: Eukaryota; Metazoa; Chordata; Mammalia; Primates; Hominidae. The record is from RNAcentral.